This is a long non-coding RNA of Stegastes partitus (bicolor damselfish), 1137 nucleotides long. RefSeq lists it as uncharacterized. The record is from RefSeq and is a predicted model, not a curated record. The transcript is spliced from 2 exons. NCBI's taxonomy places the organism in Eukaryota, Metazoa, Chordata, Actinopteri, Pomacentridae.
CUUCCGGGUUGACUGUCAUGGAGGUUUCAUUGCUGCAGUAAUGCAGUAAAUUCUUUUAGAAUAUUUUUUUUUUAAAGAGGCCGUUUAACAGAGCAGCAAUGAAGACUAAAGACGCGGAAAAACUGAAAGUAUUUUUUUCUGCAGUUUACGCUUUUGGCGUCUGGACCACGAUCGGAUCUUUGUUAUAUUUGAGAUACAUGGGUCGUUUCGAGGACAUAAGGGUGAAAAAAGCCGAGGAGGAGGAAGACAAUCCAUACAGGGUUGUGUACGAGACGGCUCACACCAAAACAGUCAUCGUCUACAAAAAAGACUUUGUCCCUUACACCACGAGGCUCUUCAACUUCUUCAACUCCUUCACCGGAAACAAGUAGCUGCAAAGGACGCUGUCGAGUAAAUCCGGAUGUAUUUGUGUGAUGAUGAUUUAUGAAUGAAAGUCCAGACACGUGUCCACGUGUCGUGGUCUGACGGAGCUGCUGUUGUGUUUGAAAGCGAGUGGAUUGCAGAUGAUCUAUAUUAAACCAUUAAGAAGACACGGUGAUGUUCAAAGUCUAAUCAAGUUGAAAAAUGUUUAAAUAAAUCUUAUUUUUCCAGUCGUGUCAACAGGCCUCUUUUACUGCACAGAUUUGGAUCCGUGUUGGUCAUAAGAGGCGUCACCAAAACAGCCUCACAUGAUUGUCAAGCGCUCACUAAAUUAUCUUUUUAAACAGCUGCAGAUUGCAGAAUGAAGCUUUUGGGCUAAGUAGCUUUAACAUACACCCAGCCUUUCAGUUUUAUUCCUGACUGUUUUUCUGAAGGAUUUUCCAGAGGAGUUUGUUCAUAUAUUCCUAAUAGUCUAAUUUAUAGAAUGUCUUACUGCUGAAAACAAAAAGAAAUGUGUUUUUAUUUCUGGCCUUUCUGGCUAUGAUUUACGGAGUGAUAAAAAGUGAUAAUAUAAAAAUAAACUGGAACUUAAUCUCGAUCACCGUAUUCUAAUUUAAUGAAGUUGAGCGUGUGAUUAGCCGUGAAAAUAAUAUAUUUAUAUAAAAAUACACAAAUUGUCAGUCUCCCUGAGUUACUAAUAAUCAGUAUAUCAAAUCAAAUGUUUGUGUUACAUACACUGUUGUACGUGGUUCAGUAUGUAAUAAAAUGUGUUGUGUA